RNAcentral lists this long non-coding RNA (947 nucleotides) under Gallus gallus (chicken). Lineage: Eukaryota; Metazoa; Chordata; Aves; Galliformes; Phasianidae. The record is from RNAcentral.
AGCAACGCGGGGGCGGCGCCGUGCCCCCGCCGGAGCGGAGCGGAGCAGGAGCGGAGCCGCCGCAGCCUCCCUGCGGCCCGGCCUCCCCCUCCCCCGUCCCCCGCCCGAAGUGGCCGUGCGCGGAGUCCCGUCCCCCCUCCUCCUUCGGAUAAAGCCCACGGCCGGGGGGGGGCUGCGCGGCACUCGCGGCUGCCGCGCUGAGGGCUGCCGGGGUCCCCCCCUCCCCGGGCAGCGCCCCCCCCCCCCGGGGCCGCAGGAGCAGCCGCCGCCGGAGCCCAGGAAUCGCAAAGAUCAGCUUCAAGAAGAACAGAACUCAAGCCAUUAGCAAGCUCAUCCAAAAGUAAUCAUCCGUCAGAGGUGAGUGCCUCCACAUCCCGGCUGCAGAGGAGCGUGAGGAGCAGCACGCUUCCUGCUUGCAGCCACUGCAGGAUGCAUGAGACUCAUGCCAAUAACCAUCUGAAUUCCCUCCUUCUCUUGCUACGGACUGUCAGCCCAAGGGUGUGUUUGCCCAGCAAUGGGUGAAGCUGGCAGUGAUUCCACCAGCCCAAGUACAUGGACAGCGUCAAGGUGGCAGUCCAUGGGAGAUCGUCCUCUCCACAGCUGGUGCUAAAGCAGAUCGGUCUACUUGGUAAUAUGGAAUACCUCUCACAUUGUCUUUGAGGGGAAGAGCUGAUGAUGGACUGUUCACACAACAGCAACACCAUUUUGGAUUGGGUGUUUUUGUAACAAGAGCAACAAGUAGUGCCAGUGUGACACAAGAGGACGAGGAGUAAAGCCUCUAGCUGCUUUUCCACUGCUCAUCACCUUCUGCAGACCUCAUCUCAAUGAGACAGCCUGGAGGUUCAUGGCUGUGUUUGAAUGGGACAAAGCGUGCUGGGAAAGGCAAUUCCAUUCACCUCAUUCAAGGCUGGGAUAGAGUCCAGAAUGAAUUCUUCCUGGUAACACCU